RNAcentral lists this ribosomal RNA (484 nucleotides) under uncultured bacterium. Its description in RNAcentral is "partial 16S ribosomal RNA". It matches the Rfam family "Bacterial small subunit ribosomal RNA", at positions 30 to 507 of the family's 1533-position model. The record is from RNAcentral.
AUUGAACGCUGGCGGCAGGCCUAACACAUGCAAGUCGAGCGGAUGAAGGGAGCUUGCUCCUGGAUUCAGCGGCGGACGGGUGAGUAAUGCCUAGGAAUCUGCCCGGUAGUGGGGGAUAACGUCCGGAAACGGGCGCUAAUACCGCAUACGUCCUGAGGGAGAAAGUGGGGGAUCUUCCGACCUCACGCUAUCAGAUGAGCCUAGGUCGGAUUAGCUAGUUGGUGGGGUAAAGGCCUACCAAGGCGACGAUCCGUAACUGGUCUGAGAGGAUGAUCAGUCACACUGGAACUGAGACACGGUCCAGACUCCUACGGGAGGCAGCAGUGGGGAAUAUUGGACAAUGGGCGAAAGCCUGAUCCAGCCAUGCCGCGUGUGUGAAGAAGGUCUUCGGAUUGUAAAGCACUUUAAGUUGGGAGGAAGGGCAGUAAGUUAAUACCUUGCUGUUUUGACGUUACCAACAGAAUAAGCACCGGCCAACUUCGUG